AACGAACGCUGGCGGCGUGGAUUAGGCAUGCAAGUCGAACGGAUAUUUAGCUUUUUCGAAUAUUAGUGGCGAAAGGGUGAGUAACACGUGGGAAACCUGCCCUAGAGAUCGGGAUAACCUAUCGAAAGAUGGGCUAAUACCGGAUACGUUACAUCUCUGAAAUGAGAUGUUGGAAAGAUGGGGACCUCUUCGGAGGCCUGUCACUCUUGGAUGGGCCCGCGGCCUAUCAGCUAGNGGUGAGGUAAUGGCUCACCAAGGCAAAGACGGGUAGCUGGUCUGAGAGGAUGGUCAGCCACACUGGAACUGAGAACGGUCCAGACUCCUACGGAGGCAGCAGUAGGGAAUUUUCCGCAAUGGGCGAAAGCCUGACGGAGCAACGCCGCGUGCAGGAGAA
RNAcentral lists this ribosomal RNA (394 nucleotides) under uncultured bacterium. RNAcentral describes it as "bacterial SSU rRNA". It matches the Rfam family "Bacterial small subunit ribosomal RNA", at positions 29 to 411 of the family's 1533-position model. The record is from RNAcentral.